UACGGCCACAUCACGUUGGAACAUCGGUUCUCGUAAGAUCACUGAAGUUAAACAACUUCGAGCCUUGUCAGUACCUAGAUGGCUAACCGCUUAGGAAUAUCAGGGGAUGUAAG
Acanthosepion pharaonis is the source of this 113-nucleotide non-coding RNA. The record is from the annotation of a GenBank genome assembly. Lineage: Eukaryota; Metazoa; Mollusca; Cephalopoda; Sepiida; Sepiidae.